ACUCUGUCCUUGGUGAAGAAAGAAAUGACGGUAGCCAAGGAGGAAGCCCCGGCUAACUACGUGCCAGCAGCCGCGGUAAUACGUAGGGGGCGAGCGUUGUCCGGAUUUACUGGGCGUAAAGGGUGAGUAGGCGGUUAUAUGUGUCAGAUGUAAAAGGCUAAGGCUUAACCAUAGUUAGCAUUUGAAACUGUAUUACUUGAGUGCAGGAGAGGUAAGUGGAAUUCCUAGUGUAGCGGUGAAAUGCGUAGAUAUUAGGAGGAACACCAGUGGCAAAGGCGACUUACUGGACUGUAACUGACGCUGAGUCACGAAAGCGUGGGUAGCAAACAGGAUUAAAUACCCUGGUAGUCCACGCUGUAAACGAUGAGUGCUAGGUGUUGGGUAGCGAUACUCAGUGCCGAAGUAAACACAAUAAGCACUCCGCCUGGGGAGUACGGUCGCAAGACUGAAACUCAAAGGAA
This 461-nucleotide ribosomal RNA is filed under the name uncultured Sedimentibacter sp. RNAcentral's name for it is "bacterial SSU rRNA". It matches the Rfam family "Bacterial small subunit ribosomal RNA", at positions 430 to 909 of the family's 1533-position model. Lineage: Bacteria; Bacillati; Bacillota; Tissierellia. The record is from RNAcentral.